AUUGAACGCUGGCGGCAUGCCUUACACAUGCAAGUCGAACGGCAGCACGGGUGCUUGCACCUGGUGGCGAGUGGCGAACGGGUGAGUAAUACAUCGGAACAUGUCCUGUAGUGGGGGAUAGCCCGGCGAAAGCCGGAUUAAUACCGCAUACGAUCUACGGAUGAAAGCGGGGGACCUUCGGGCCUCGCGCUAUAGGGUUGGCCGAUGGCUGAUUAGCUAGUUGGUGGGGUAAAGGCCUACCAAGGCGACGAUCAGUAGCUGGUCUGAGAGGACGACCAGCCACACGGGGACUGAGACACGGCCCAGACUCCGACGGGAGGCAGCAGUGGGGAAUUUUGGACAAUGGGCGAAAGCCUGAUCCAGCAAUGCCGCGGGUGUGAAGAAGGCCUUCGGGUUGUAAAGCACUUUUGUCCGGAAAGAAAUCCUUGGCCCUAAUACGGGCGGGGGAUGACGGUACCGGAAGAAUAAGCACCGGCGAACUACGU
RNAcentral lists this ribosomal RNA (485 nucleotides) under uncultured bacterium. Its description in RNAcentral is "partial 16S ribosomal RNA". It matches the Rfam family "Bacterial small subunit ribosomal RNA", at positions 29 to 506 of the family's 1533-position model. The record is from RNAcentral.